Molecule: ribosomal RNA, 256 nt
Filed under: Candidatus Doudnabacteria bacterium RIFCSPLOWO2_01_FULL_44_21
Lineage: Bacteria; Candidatus Doudnaibacteriota
Description: partial 23S ribosomal RNA
Rfam family: Bacterial large subunit ribosomal RNA
Source: RNAcentral
ACCCGAUGAAUUUACAUUGACGGUAAAGAUGCCGUCUACCCGCAACAAGACGGAAAGACCCUAUGAAGCUUUACUAUAGCGUGUCAUUGAUGCACGAAUUUUUUUGUUUAGCAUAGGUGGGAGCCUUUGAAUCGCAGGCGCAAGCAUGCGUGGAGGCGACAAGUGAAAUACCACCCUAAAAGACUUUUGUUUCUAACCCGGAUUUAACCAGUCCAGGGACAGUGGCUCGUGGGUAGUUUAACUGGGGCGGUUGCCU